CGACGCCGUGCGGGAGAGUUCCGGGCACUGCAAGCACAGAAACAUCGUGUGUGCAGGAGUUCGGGCGCCGAAGGAGCAACACCUCCCCGUCAAUCUCUCAGGCAGACAGGACCGUGCGGGCUCC
RNAcentral lists this non-coding RNA (124 nucleotides) under Rhodococcus jostii RHA1. RNAcentral's name for it is "Glycine riboswitch aptamer". It matches the Rfam family "Glycine riboswitch aptamer". From Rfam's summary of the family: This family represents the bacterial glycine riboswitch. Glycine riboswitches usually consist of two metabolite-binding aptamers domains with similar structures in tandem. The aptamers cooperatively bind glycine to regulate the expression of downstream genes. RNAcentral also lists the same sequence under 1 other name. The record is from Rfam by way of RNAcentral. Lineage: Bacteria; Bacillati; Actinomycetota; Actinomycetes; Mycobacteriales; Nocardiaceae.